RNAcentral lists this non-coding RNA (27 nucleotides) under Homo sapiens (human). Lineage: Eukaryota; Metazoa; Chordata; Mammalia; Primates; Hominidae. The record is from RNAcentral.
UGACCGGUUCUGGGCUUCGAUGUGUCC